GUUUGCACUUGUCGGGGAAGGGUGAGAACCUUCGACUAAGGUUCGACUCGAGCGAAAGCGAGAGAACGUUGGCAACGCCAACGGCCCGAAGGGUGAGGAGCGAAGCGACGAAUAAUCCUUCCCCCACCACCA
RNAcentral lists this small RNA (132 nucleotides) under Citrobacter freundii. RNAcentral's name for it is "RtT sRNA". It matches the Rfam family "RtT RNA". Rfam says of the family: This family represents a bacterial cis-regulatory element known as RtT RNA. The exact function of RtT is unknown although it is thought that it may be involved in changing the cellular response in relation to amino acid starvation. Lineage: Bacteria; Pseudomonadati; Pseudomonadota; Gammaproteobacteria; Enterobacterales; Enterobacteriaceae. The record is from RNAcentral. RNAcentral also lists the same sequence under 1 other name.